UCUUGUAUGAUUACCCCAUGACUAUUGUUCAUUGUGACAACUGGUUUGACUAUUGGGGAAAAGGCACUUCAGUCACCGUUACUGCAGAAUCCCCAAAGGCCCCUUCUCUUUUCCCACUCAUCCCAUCUGGGGACAACUCAGAGACCAUAGAUAUCACCAUCGGAUGUCUUGCCAAGAAUUUUCUGCCAGAUUCAAUUGAUUUCUCCUGGGAUAACCAACGAAACCAGAGUAUUGGCAACCAGAACUACAUAAAAUUUCCAUCUAUCUUGUCAAGUGGAACGUACACAGCAGUUUCUCAGGCUAAAGUCCCACGGAGUACAUGGGAUGAAUUUCAAUUGUUCUACUGCAAAGCCACUCACCCGCAGGGCAACAAAAUAGUCCCGGUUGUUCGACAAUAUGAGAGACCAGUUGAACCUACAAUGCUCAUCCGUGCACCAAUCCUUAAUGCGUUUUCAAGUAUCUACCUAAAUUCCACUGUUACCUGUGAAGUUAGUGACCUCUGCUCUGGAAACGUUGCCAUCCGUUGGCUUAAGGAGAAAAAAGAAAUCACCACUGGCAUCACCACCAGCAAACCCAUCCCAAAUGGUCAUGGGGGAUACACCAUUAGCAGCAAAGUUGUCAUCACCAAGGAAGACUGGGUUUCUGAAAAGGAGUUCACCUGUGAAGCAAGAAGAAAGGACAAACCUAUCCUUUCAGAGACAUUCAACUUGCUAUCUUUCUGCAAAAGAGAUAUCUGUUUAGAUGUUACCGUGGAAACCAUCCCCCCAGCUUUUGCUGAUAUAUUCCAGACCAGCUCGGCCAACCUCACUUGCAAAAUCUCCAACAUCCCUGUUGAUGCAGACUAUUCAAAAUUGAACGUCACCUGGACACGAGCAUCAGACCAGAAGCAACUACACACUGUGAUGACCAACUUCCCAAGCCAGAACAAUGACAUUUCCUAUGUCAAUGCUGUAGCCACAGUGUGUGCAACAGAAUGGAAGAACGCUGAAACUUUUACCUGCAAAGUGACAUUUGAAGGUGUACUUGUCAAGCCAAUAGAAAAAACCCUGGUGAAGGAAAGUGUUGGCGAACCAAAAGCUCCCUCUGUCUACGUCCUUCCACCUUCAUUAGAAGAGCUGAAUUUGCGGGAAACAGUUACCCUCACAUGCCUCGUCAAAAACUUCAAUCCCGGCAACUUCUUUGUACGAUGGCUCCAGAAUGAACAGCCAGUCAGUGAAUCAGUAUACUUCACCAGCAAAGCCAUAUUAGAGUCCAAAAUACAAUCCAAAGAGUAUUUUGCCUACAGCAUGCUGAACAUCAAUGAACAGGAAUGGAGCGCAGGGGAUUCCUUCACUUGUGUGGUGGGACAUGAAGCCUUGCACUACAACUCAAUUCAGAAGACUGUAAACAAGAACACGGGUAAACCAUCCAUAGUCAACGUCUCCUUAGUCCUCUCCGACACUUCCACCCCUUGCUAUUAAUUGUCAACCUAAUUUCUUUUGAGAAACCUCCACUUACUCUAUCUCCACUAGCCUCUGCUUCUUCUGCUUCAUUGCUGAUACUUCGAUGGAAAGUUUUCGGUGAUGAAGGCAGAUCUCUAAGGAAGGAGGUGUCAGUGUUAAAUCAGUAGCUCGCCACCUUUUUCUGAAGGAAUUACAUAUUUUGCAAUAAAGUAUUUU
This is a non-coding RNA of Notechis scutatus (mainland tiger snake), 1658 nucleotides long. The record is from the annotation of a RefSeq genome assembly. Lineage: Eukaryota; Metazoa; Chordata; Lepidosauria; Squamata; Elapidae.